GCCUCCACCGCCUUCUUCCAGGAGGAGGGGCCGUGCGGCGCCUGCCCGGGGGCCCUCAGGCCGCAGGCGGGCGCGAGCUUCAGGGAACUUAGGGGGCUCCCGCCUCCCCGGCCACGCGAGCGGGAACAGUCUCCUCCACUCGGAGCGAUUAUAGAUCCAGACUCCUGUGCCUGACCACUGCCCAUGGCCAACUCUCUGCUGAUGACUGGACUUGACUACACAAGUUGUUGGCCAUCUUAAAACCACUCAAAGUUGACGGUCUCCUCUCCUGCCUCCUGCGGCUUCCAUUACCAUGGCAGAGACUGUGGUGUCUGAGGUGGUGUAGCGUACUGAAGCAAGGCUGUCUUGAAGAAGAGGAGACAACUCACAAUUCUACCACCUUUGUUGACCUCUUCUUCCCCCCAACUUAUUGCUGUAGAGGCUACCUGAGCUCAUUGUCCCUGGAGAUGGACCAAAUAGAAGAAUAAGCAGUGCCUGUGUGGCCCCAACUACAGAAGAUAAGAGGGCAUAGGAAAAGUUUUUCCUCUCUACAAGCCAAAAGUCGCAAGGCUAAUAUUUACUCCCCUGAUUCUCUCCUCCAGAGCCCACACCCUUCAUCACUACUGAUAAAGUUUCAAAUAUGUUUUUCAAAUCUGGCAUUCAUGGUUGCUACUGCACUGGAAUAAUGGUAACAACAGGCUGAUGAGAAUCUUAAGUGGCACUUACUCAGUGGAGUAAUUGGAAGCGGCAAUGGUUAUACAAAUGAAUGCCCCUCAGAGGGAAGAAGGAGAGAUUUGCCUUGAAACUGCGGCUGUAAAAAGUUAGUGCUGGACUCUUGUGUUUUCCUUUCCAUCACUCUCCUCACUCCUCCAGGGCACCCUUUUCUUCUGAAGGCCAACUUGUGGAAACCCCAGGAGCUAGCUACCAUGUUACAGGAGGCUGACCAUCAUCUGGACUCUCUCUUAUGUCAGACUGUGGAAUGUAAAUUUUGGAAGUGCCAGGAGCUAUAGUUUCUAUCAUGUAUACAAAACUUCUCUGAAGUGAGAAAGACUGCAAUUGACAUACCAAGAAGAGCACAGACAGGACACAAAGUUAACCUCCAGGUCAUGCAGACAGGCAAAGAACCUGGAGAGAGGCCUAUGUGGAGAGAAACCGAGGUCACCUUCAACAGCCAACACCAACUUGCCAGCUAUGUAAGUGAGCCAUCUUGAAAUGGAUCCCCCAGUCCCAGUUAAACCUUGAGAUGAUUGGUCAACAUCUUGAAUGCAAUCUUAUGAGAGACCAUGAGCCAGAGCUACCCAGCCAAGCCACUCUUGAAUUCCUAACCCACAGAGAUAAUAAAAUGUUUACAUUUUUAAG
RNAcentral lists this long non-coding RNA (1338 nucleotides) under Homo sapiens (human). RNAcentral's name for it is "AHI1 divergent transcript". Lineage: Eukaryota; Metazoa; Chordata; Mammalia; Primates; Hominidae. The record is from RNAcentral.